UUAUCGCUAAUAGACAUGCAUCAUAUGUUUGUUCUGCCAUUGUUUGAUUUUAUCCAUAUUAUCUAUUUUCAGGUUUUUAAUGCAAAAACUGCAGAGCUCCUGAGCCACCAUCAAGUAGAAAUACAACAGAAGUUCCCUAAAGAAGGGUGGGUGGAGCAAGAUCCAAAAGAAAUCUUGCAGUCAGUCCAUGAAUGUGUGGAGAGAACAUGUGAGAAAUUGAAACAGCUGAACAUAGAUAUUACCAACAUAAAAGCUAUUGGAGUCAGCAAUCAGAGGGAGACAACUGUGGUUUGGGACAAGACAACUGGAGAACCUCUGUACAAUGCUAUUGUGUGGCUUGACCUGAGAACCCAGUCAACAGUUGAGAGGCUUCUUAACAGAAUUCCCGGGAAAAAUAAAUCCUUUUUUAAGCCUAGGACUGGUCUUCCACUUAGCACAUAUUUCAGUGCAGUGAAACUUCGAUGGCUGCUGGAUAAUGUGGAAGAAAUUAAGCAAGCAGUUGAUGAUGGACGCGCUAUGUUUGGCACUAUUGAUUCAUGGCUUAUAUGGAGUUUGACUGGCGGAAGGAAUGGAGGUGUUCAUUGUACUGAUAUGACUAAUGCCAGUAGAACAAUGCUGUUCAACAUUCAUUCCUUGGAGUGGGACCCUGAACUCUGCCAGUUUUUUGAUAUUCCUAUGGAAAUACUUCCAAAAGUGAGGAGUUCCUCUGAGAUCUAUGGCCUGAUGAAAAUCAGUUCUGCUGUGAAGUCUGGAGCUUUGACAGGUGUGCCAAUUUCUGGGUGCUUGGGUGACCAAUCUGCUGCACUAGUUGGACAAAUGUGUUUUAGGGAUGGACAAGCAAAAAAUACGUACGGAACAGGCUGUUUCUUGCUUUGCAAUACAGGUCCAAAGUCUGUAUUUUCUGAGCAUGGCCUUCUGACCACAGUGGCUUACCAGCUGGGCAGGGACAAGCCUGUGUAUUAUGCACUAGAAGGGUCUGUUGCCAUAGCUGGUGCUGUUGUUCGUUGGCUGAGGGACAAUCUUGGUAUUGUGAAAUCUUCCCAGGAAGUUGAAAAACUUGCUGCUGAAGUGGGAACUUCUUAUGGCUGCUACUUCGUGCCAGCAUUUUCAGGACUCUAUGCACCAUACUGGGAACCCAGUGCAAGAGGUAUUAUCUGUGGCCUUACUCAGUUUACAAAUAAAAAUCACAUUGCCUUCGCUGCAUUAGAGGCUGUCUGCUUUCAAACACGAGAGAUUUUGGAUGCCAUGAACAAGGAUUGUGGGAUACCAUUAAGCCAGUUACAGGUUGAUGGAGGAAUGACCAACAAUAAGGUUCUCAUGCAGCUCCAAGCUGAUAUUCUCUGCAUUCCAGUAGUAAAACCAUCAAUGCCUGAAACAACAGCACUAGGAGCUGCUAUGGCAGCAGGAGCUGCAGAAGGAGUUGGAAUUUGGAGUCUGGAUCCUGGAGACUUGACAGCAGUGACAUGUGAACGAUUUGAACCACAGAUCAAUCCUGAAGAAAGUGAAUAUCGCUAUGCCAGAUGGAAGAAAGCAGUGAUGAAAUCAAUAGGAUGGGAGACAUCUGAACCUCAUUCAAAUGAUUCCCAGUGAAAAAGAUAUGGGUUCUGGUGAUGAGGCCUUAUUCCAAGACAUGUCAGAAAUCUGUCUACCUAAAUUUCCCUGCUAUCUCCAUAAAGAUGGUACUAAUAAAUGAGACCAUGUAAUGGAUUAUCAGAAUGCAGCCAGUUUGUGAAGAGAAUUGAGUUAUAUCUCCACAUCUGACGGUACUGCCUGAAUGACUAGAUCACUUACAAACCAAUCCGUUGCCUGGUCCUUGAAUGACAUCCCAAGAGUGACUUGAAACAUGAAAUAAACUACUCUGCUCUUCCUCGUCUUUCCCCGUUUCUAAUUAUUCCGGCAGCCUUUGAAUGGACACUUUGGAAAGCCCUAACUUUGUUUUGAAAGUGGACAUGAAAAGAAUUUUAAGCUGUCUGAUAACUGUAGAGGCAUUCCUAUCCUGAUGUCUAGGACCUUGUUAUUUUAUAAUGCACUAUGAAGAGCUAUAAUAAUGCACUAUAAGAACUUAUAAAACAGUCAUUUUUUCCAACAGUUGUUAUAUUAAUAGAUGGUUGCCAAUGAUAUGUUUUUAUUUAGUAGCCAUUAGACAGAAUAUCUUUAUUGGUGUAUACUUUUUAAAAACACUCAGUACAUCAUCAGUACCAGACAUUGUCACUAGUAUCUGCUGAUUUGAUGUCUGCAAACAUUGUUUAAUAUUUGAUUAAACAUUAAGUUGCUUAGUCUCUUGUAUGUGCAUAGGUGAUCAUCAAUAAGAUAUACUUAAAAUGCUAUGUCCUAUAAAUUUCUCUUGUAAGAAGGUAGGAAGAAUCAGCUUCUUUGGAGAAAACCACUUUUGUAUUUUGCUGGUUCAUGUUCUUUUGAAAGACCAAUUUUAUGCAUGCAUGCUGGUCACAGGAAAAGUCCUUAUUCCUUAACAGCUGAUAAGUUACAGUUAAAUUGAUCCACAAUAUACCCUUGUUGGCCAGUACUGCAUGCCCUUUUUUUCAUCCUGAUUUUAGAGUACUUGGAUUAUUAUUUGCAAAAUUUGAGGAUAUUGCUGGUGUCUGUCCACAAAAAGGGCCACUCCAAAUGAAAUUGUUUCAUUGAGGUUGCCAUUACUGAUUUUCAUCUGGUGUAGAAUGAAUACCGAAGUCUGCCUCUGAAUUGAAUUAAUCUGUUUUUGCUUAACAGUGUAUCCCAGAAUAGGCAGUUCACAAGCCAGGAUCCAGGUUUGGGGAUAUACAAACUUUGGCAUCUACAAAUACCAUUCACUUAAAUUGAGUUGUCAUUUUUUUUUUUUUUUUAAAUUAACUUUUGUAUAAUUAAGCUUAAACUAAAUACCUAAUUUAGCACAGGAAAAUUGAAAAGAUAUUAAUUUAUUUGCAUAAAGAUCCUGGAUAAAUUGACAGUUUCAACUGUGGUAGAGCAUAGAAAAUGUUUCUGUAUAGUUGUUUCACUGGAACAUAGAUAUCCUCUUGCCUAAUUGACAAGAAGACAAAUGUGGAGACUUUCAAGAUAAUCGAUGACAAAUUUUGUGUUUAAAUAUACUAGGAGCUGAAGGGAGUGUGGAUUCUUUGUGUGUAAAAGAUUCUUCUUGUCUGUCUAAGGAAAGCAGUUAUCUUUAACAACAGUAUUUUUCUUCCUUUAAGCUAUAAAUGAAAAACUAAUAGAAAAUAUAGAGUACUGGAGCUGACUAGAAAUUCUCAUCUGUACAGUGUAUAUUUAAUGUUAACUGCAUAUGAUACUCCUUUUUAUCAAGUGCAAUGUAAUUUGAAAAUGUAAUCUUUUUUUAAAAGAUUGUGAAGGAAAACAUUUUUCCACUGGUGCAUGUAUGUAAUGUUAUUUUUUAUAUAAUUGGAAAUUAGUUUUGUGUACAGGUGAAAAUACAAAAAAUGACCAUGCCCAAACACUAUUCACAAAUCCUUGUGCUGUAUGGAUGUACUCUGUAUGCUAAACACUUUCUGUAAAUACCUAGCAUUUGGGUAUAGCAAUCAAGGCUUCUGGUUUUCAUUUUGCACAGAGGUAUCUUUUAGUAGUCUCUUAUAAAAGGGAAAGCUGAAUUAUCAGCCAGCAAAAGUAAUCAGUUUUUUGGUUUUUUACACAAUUCUUAGAUUUACUCAUUCAUUGAUGAUCUUUCCCCACCCCCCAACCAGGGAUCAAUGUAGUACUAGCACUGUGAAGAACACAAAUCAAAAGCAGUGCACACCCGAGAAACCAGGCUUCUGGGUAGGAGUGGGAUUAUUUUUGCCAAAAAUUACAUCUUAAGUCUUCAAAUAUAAUUCUGACAUUAGAAAAAUCUAAGCAGUAAGUAACAAACUUGGGCAUCAUAAAUUUCAGUGUUGCCUUUCCAGUGGUAUACCUCUGUUUCUGCAUACAGUGUUGAUUUUGCUGCUUUUGACACAUUGGGCCUCUUUCUAGAUCACAUUUCAACUGCUGUUUCAAUUGAGUAAAUGAGACUAGCUUUGCUUCCAAUUGCUGUUGCAGAUAUAUAUAUAUAUAUAUUUUUUUUUUUUGAAGUAUUUAAUACCACUGUUUAACUUUAUACCAAAAUAGCUUAAAUUAAUUGUGGAAAAAGUAAAGUUCAAGUAACUUUUUGUGAAUAGAAAGUGGUCAUUUCCCCCCGCCCCUGCCCCACCAUGAUUUCCAGAUUUAUAAAUUCUUACUAGAGAAACAUGCUGACUCGGUACUGCUGUCCAACACCAUGGUCAUGAAUAA
Alligator sinensis (Chinese alligator) is the source of this 4251-nucleotide RNA transcript. It is a transcript of the gene named glycerol kinase, with no coding region annotated. The transcript has 20 exons. The record is from RefSeq and is a predicted model, not a curated record. Lineage: Eukaryota; Metazoa; Chordata; Crocodylia; Alligatoridae.